AUCGACUAUGAUGAGCCAAUAACAGACCUGUAAUGACUUGCGAACAUGAUCGCAUCUUAUGAACAUCUAAGGGACUGAGUCUCG
Cynara cardunculus var. scolymus (artichoke) is the source of this 84-nucleotide small nucleolar RNA. RefSeq annotates it as small nucleolar RNA SNORD25. The record is from RefSeq and is a predicted model, not a curated record. The transcript has a single exon. NCBI's taxonomy places the organism in Eukaryota, Viridiplantae, Streptophyta, Magnoliopsida, Asterales, Asteraceae.